Molecule: ribosomal RNA, 473 nt
Filed under: Togwoteeus biceps
Lineage: Eukaryota; Metazoa; Arthropoda; Arachnida; Opiliones; Sclerosomatidae
Description: partial 16S ribosomal RNA
Rfam family: Bacterial large subunit ribosomal RNA
Source: RNAcentral
GGAACUAAAGGGCCGCAGUAGCCUGACUGUGCUAAGGUAGCAUAAUCAUUUGGUUUUUGAUUGGGAUCUGGUAUGAAAGGAUAAAUAAGGAGGGUCUGUCUUAUAAUUGUUUUUGAAUUUAAAUUUUUAGUAAGAAUGCUAGGAUUAUUCUAUGGGACGAUAAGACCCUAUAAAGCUUUACUGUUUAUAUUGUUGAUAUUUUUACUAAAUUUAUUUUUUAAACAGUUUUACUGGGGCGGUAGCUAAAUUAAACUUAGUAUAGAUUAUGUUUUUUUGGACCCAUUAGUAGUGAUAUAAGAUUAAGUUACUUUAGGGAUAACAGCAUAAUACCCUUAUGGAGUUCUAAUCGAAGAGGGUGAUUAUGACCUCGAUGUUGAAUUAACUAAAUUUUAAGGUGAAGACGCUUUAAUAAUUAGUCUGUUCGACUAUUAAUUAGUUACGUGAUUUGAGUUCAAACCGGUUUAAGCCAGGUU